CCUGCCCCUAUAGGCAUUACAGGUAUAACUUCUUUGUCACAAAUGUCUGAGUAGGUGGCAGAGAGGAGAGAGGGUGUGUAUAUACCCAGUAUUCUGACCUAUGAAUAUCUGAAUGACUAGUAGACUAACAGU
Grammomys surdaster is the source of this 132-nucleotide small nucleolar RNA. RefSeq annotates it as small nucleolar RNA SNORA17. The record is from RefSeq and is a predicted model, not a curated record. Lineage: Eukaryota; Metazoa; Chordata; Mammalia; Rodentia; Muridae. The transcript has a single exon.